AUUGAACGCUGGCGGCAGGCUUAACGCAUGCAAGUCGAGCGGUAGCAGAGAGAAGCUUGCUUCUCUGCUGACGAGCGGCGGACGGGUGAGUAAUGCCUAGGAAUCUGCCUAGUAGUGGGGGAUAACUUGCCGAAAGGUGAGCUAAUACCGCAUACGUCCUACGGGAGAAAGGAGGGGACCUUCGGGCCUUUCGCUAUUAGAUGAGCCUAGGUCGGAUUAGUUAGUUGGUGAGGUAAUGGCUCACCAAGACCGCGAUCCGUAACUGGUCUGAGAGGAUGAUCAGUCACACUGGAACUGAGACACGGUCCAGACUCCUACGGGAGGUAGCAGUGGGGAAUAUUGGACAAUGGGGGGAACCCUGAUCCAGCCAUGCCGCGUGUGUGAAGAAGGUCUUAGGAUUGUAAAGCACUUUAAGUUGGGAGGAAGAGCAGUUAACUAAUAUUUGACUGUUUUGACGUUACCGACAGAAUAAGCACCGGCUAACUUCGUGCCAGCCGCCGCCGUAA
This 506-nucleotide ribosomal RNA is filed under the name uncultured bacterium. RNAcentral's name for it is "partial 16S ribosomal RNA". It matches the Rfam family "Bacterial small subunit ribosomal RNA", at positions 30 to 523 of the family's 1533-position model. The record is from RNAcentral.